GACGAACCGUGCGAACGUUGUUCGGAUUCACUGGGCUUAAAGGGCGCGUAGGCGGCUCGCCAAGUCAGGGGUGAAAUCGUUCGGCCCAACCGGACAAGGGCCCCUGAUACUGGCGAGCUCGAGGGGGGUAGGGGCAUGCGGAACUUCCGGUGGAGCGGUGAAAUGCGUAGAUAUCGGAAGGAACGCCGGUGGCGAAAGCGGCGUGCUGGACCCCUCCUGACGCUGAGGCGCGAAAGCUAGGGGAGCAAACGGG
This 253-nucleotide ribosomal RNA is filed under the name uncultured bacterium. RNAcentral's name for it is "partial 16S ribosomal RNA". It matches the Rfam family "Bacterial small subunit ribosomal RNA", at positions 524 to 776 of the family's 1533-position model. The record is from RNAcentral.